This 674-nucleotide ribosomal RNA is filed under the name Bacillus subtilis. RNAcentral describes it as "bacterial SSU rRNA". It matches the Rfam family "Bacterial small subunit ribosomal RNA", at positions 47 to 703 of the family's 1533-position model. Lineage: Bacteria; Bacillati; Bacillota; Bacilli; Caryophanales; Bacillaceae. The record is from RNAcentral.
AGCUAUACAUGCAAGUCGAGCGGACAGAUGGGAGCUUGCUCCCUGAUGUUAGCGGCGGACGGGUGAGUAACACGUGGGUAACCUGCCUGUAAGACUGGGAUAACUCCGGGAAACCGGGGCUAAUACCGGAUGGUUGUUUGAACCGCAUGGUUCAAACAUAAAAGGUGGCUUCGGCUACCACUUACAGAUGGACCCGCGGCGCAUUAGCUAGUUGGUGAGGUAACGGCUCACCAAGGCAACGAUGCGUAGCCGACCUGAGAGGGUGAUCGGCCACACUGGGACUGAGACACGGCCCAGACUCCUACGGGAGGCAGCAGUAGGGAAUCUUCCGCAAUGGACGAAAGUCUGACGGAGCAACGCCGCGUGAGUGAUGAAGGUUUUCGGAUCGUAAAGCUCUGUUGUUAGGGAAGAACAAGUACCGUUCGAAUAGGGCGGUACCUUGACGGUACCUAACCAGAAAGCCACGGCUAACUACGUGCCAGCAGCCGCGGUAAUACGUAGGUGGCAAGCGUUGUCCGGAAUUAUUGGGCGUAAAGGGCUCGCAGGCGGUUUCUUAAGUCUGAUGUGAAAGCCCCCGGCUCAACCGGGGAGGGUCAUUGGAAACUGGGGAACUUGAGUGCAGAAGAGGAGAGUGGAAUUCCACGUGUAGCGGUGAAAUGCGUAGAGAUGUGGAG